RNAcentral lists this microRNA precursor (130 nucleotides) under Populus trichocarpa (black cottonwood). Its description in RNAcentral is "MIR480 microRNA precursor family". It matches the Rfam family "MIR480 microRNA precursor family". The record is from Rfam by way of RNAcentral. Lineage: Eukaryota; Viridiplantae; Streptophyta; Magnoliopsida; Malpighiales; Salicaceae.
AAGUCUACUUAGAUCAGAUCUUUAUUUAAUAAUGUCACAUCAUUACUCAAAUAUUCAGAAUCAUCCAUAUCUACAUGCCCAACUAUAUCACACUACCACUACAAUCUUGUCAUAUUGGUUUAGCAAAAGA